GGGGGAAGGCCGGAUCCUGGACUGUGUCCCGGCGCCCUGUGCUCCCGGGUUCUGUGCUGUUGGAUUCGCGCUCCGGCCCCGCAGCCCCCU
Non-coding RNA from Canis lupus familiaris (dog), 90 nucleotides. The record is from Rfam. Lineage: Eukaryota; Metazoa; Chordata; Mammalia; Carnivora; Canidae.